Pristis pectinata (smalltooth sawfish) is the source of this 2142-nucleotide RNA transcript. It is a transcript of the gene named neuronal acetylcholine receptor subunit beta-2-like, with no coding region annotated. The transcript is spliced from 7 exons. The record is from RefSeq and is a predicted model, not a curated record. Lineage: Eukaryota; Metazoa; Chordata; Chondrichthyes; Rhinopristiformes; Pristidae.
UUCUCUCACUCGCUUUCCCUUCCCUCCUCCCCCUCUCCACAAUCUCCCCUCCCCAUUCCGUGCUCGCUGAUCCGGGCUCUCGCCUUCUGCCUUUGCUGAGUGUGGAUCAAAGGAAGCGAGAGCAGCGAGGUGGCCCGCUCCGGCUGUCCACGGCUACACGCCCCGUUUCCCGUCCUCGCCCGGGCGAGCCAGGAGGGGAUCCAAGCGCCAAGACCAUGCUACUUACGUUGACAGUCUCCCUGCUAUUUCUCGUAUGCAAAAGUACUCUACCUCCGAAUACAGAGGAACGCUUAGCUAAUUACCUCUUACAUGCUGAUCGCUAUAAUAGGCUCAUCAGACCUGCAAAGAAUAGCACUGAUAUAGUAACCAUUGCAAUAAAGGUGUCCCUCUCACAGCUAAUAAGUGUGAAUGAGAGGGAACAGAUCAUGACCACAAAUGCUUGGCUAACCCAGGAAUGGAAUGACUAUCGGUUAAGGUGGGAUCCAGGAAAAUAUGAAGGCAUCGAUAAGCUCAGAAUAUCAUCUCGGCAUCUUUGGCUCCCUGACAUAGUGUUAUAUAACAAUGCUGAUGGAACCUAUGAGGUGUCCCUCUAUACUAACGCAAUUGUAUACAGCAAUGGAGAUAUCUUCUGGCUGCCUCCUGCAAUCUAUAAGAGUGCCUGCAGAAUCGAAGUGAAACAUUUCCCUUUUGACCAGCAAAACUGUACCCUGAAAUUUCGAUCAUGGACAUAUGAUCGCACUGAAAUUGAUUUGGUUUUAAGUAGUGAUGUUGCAAGCAGGGACGACUUCAAGCCCAGCGGGGAAUGGGAUAUUGUGUCUCUUCCAGGGAGAAGGAAUGAGAUUCCAACAGACCCAACAUAUGUUGAUAUCACAUAUGAUUUUAUCAUCAAGAGGAAGCCAUUAUUUUAUACCAUUAACCUCAUCAUCCCCUGUGUGCUGAUCACUUCUCUUGCAAUUUUGGUGUUCUACUUGCCGUCUGAUUGUGGCGAGAAAAUAACACUGUGCAUUUCUGUUCUGCUGGCGUUAACAGUCUUUUUACUGCUUAUAUCAAAGAUUGUUCCACCAACUUCACUGGAUGUUCCACUAAUUGGCAAGUACCUAAUGUUUACCAUGGUUUUGGUAACCUUUUCAAUAGUCACUAGUGUCUGCGUGUUGAACGUUCACCAUCGGUCACCCACCACCCACACCAUGCCUGAAUGGGUGAAGCAAGUGUUUCUCAAGAAGUUGCCCACUCUUCUGUUAAUGAAGCGGCCAGAAAAUCGAAGCAUAAAGGACCGAAUCAGGAAGAAGCAGCUGUCAGCUUGUAUUGAUAGUGAUGCAGACCAAACCGAUGUUCAAACAAGCUAUGGGAACAAAGAGCCAGCAGUGAAAUGUGGCUGGAGAUUGGGAGACAUGUCCCAUCAGCAGGAUUUCAGGAAGAAGGGAUCAACAAAGGCUCAGUCCAACAUACAAGAGGCAGUGGAUGGUGUCAGAUUCAUAGCAGAGCACAUGAAAUGUGAAGAUGAAGAUCAGAGUAUCAGUGAAGAUUGGAAGUAUGUCGCUAUGGUUAUCGACCGCCUGUUUCUGUGGAUAUUUGUAUUUGUGUGUGUGGUUGGCACUUUGGGUCUCUAUCUUCAACCUUUCUUUCAGAACCACACUUCACCACACGUGUUUUCUGAUGCAGAGUGAUAUUCUUCCCUGUGUGAUGGUUGCACCUUCCAGACUUGAAAGAAAAUUAAUGCAAGACACCAAACAAGCAUGUGCUGUUUACAGACACACAGCAAUGGUGAUGACACAUGAUCCAAUCCAGGAGUUCCCACCAGAACUGCUGAAUCUUCACUACCUGAACUCCUAAUAGACACCACCUUCAUGACUGAUACAACUCUGGAAGAAAGAAGAGAUGGUAUUUUUUUUCACCUAGGUCUGUACAUGAAACAUAACUCACGCUGUAGAACUUUGUGCUGUUGGUGCCAUCACAUUUCUUGUUUGUGAACAUUUUAUUUGAACAUGGGGAUGCUUUUAAAUGAAUUCAACAAUCCAAGCAUAUUGUUGUAGAGGUCAGUCAGGUCCAAGCUAUGAGCUGUGUUUGCAGUUCUGGGCUGUGGUGAUAAUGAGUGUAAUGGAUAUUUUCUGUAAGGAAAACCAUGAAAAAAAUAGACCAAGA